This 460-nucleotide ribosomal RNA is filed under the name uncultured bacterium. RNAcentral's name for it is "partial 16S ribosomal RNA". It matches the Rfam family "Bacterial small subunit ribosomal RNA", at positions 338 to 795 of the family's 1533-position model. The record is from RNAcentral.
CCUACGGGAGGCAGCAGUGAGGAAUAUUGGUCAAUGGGCGGGAGCCUGAACCAGCCAAGUCGCGUGAGGGAAGACGGUCUUAUGGAUUGUAAACCUCUUUAGGCGGGGAGCAAUGCCGGGCACGUGUGCCCGGAGGGAGAGUACCCGCCGAAUCAGCAUCGGCUAACUCCGUGCCAGCAGCCGCGGUAAUACGGGGGAUGCGAGCGUUAUCCGGAUUGAUUGGGUUUACAGGGUGCGUAGGCGGAUUGUUAAGUCAGCGGUAAAAUGUCCGGGCUCAACCCGGGCCGGCCGUUGAAACUGGGGAUCUUGAGUGGGCGAGAAGUAUGCGGAAUGCGUGGUGUAGCGGUGAAAUGCAUAGAUAUCACGCAGAACUCCGAUGGCGAAGGCAGCAUACCGGCGCCCGACUGACGCUGAGGCACGAAAGCGUGGGGAUCGAACAGGAUUAGAUACCCGGGUAGUC